GAUGAACGCUGGCGGCGUGCCUAAUACAUGCAAGUCGAGCGAACAGACGAGGAGCUUGCUCCUCUGACGUUAGCGGCGGACGGGUGAGUAACACGUGGAUAACCUACCUAUAAGACUGGGAUAACUUCGGGAAACCGGAGCUAAUACCGGAUAAUAUAUUGAACCGCAUGGUUCAAUAGUGAAAGACGGUUUUGCUGUCACUUAUAGAUGGAUCCGCGCCGCAUUAGCUAGUUGGUAAGGUAACGGCUUACCAAGGCGACGAUGCGUAGCCGACCUGAGAGGGUGAUCAGCCACACUGGAACUGAGACACGGUCCAGACUCCUACGGGAGGCAGCAGUAGGGAAUCUUCCGCAAUGGGCGCAAGCCUGACGGAGCAACGCCGCGUGAGUGAUGAAGGUCUUCGGAUCGUAAAACUCUGUUAUUAGGGAAGAACAAAUGUGUAAGUAACUAUGCACGUCUUGACGGUACCUAAUCAGAAAGCCCCGGCUAACUACGUG
Molecule: ribosomal RNA, 497 nt
Filed under: uncultured bacterium
Lineage: Bacteria
Description: partial 16S ribosomal RNA
Rfam family: Bacterial small subunit ribosomal RNA
Source: RNAcentral